CACAGCAAAAUCACCAGUGUUAAAUUUUCAGGGAUGGUGUUAAAUACACAGUGUUGAUGCUGUUUUAACACUAUCUGGUAAUAAAAUAACACUGCCAUUGCUAGGCCAGUGUUAUAUUCACGACAGUGUCAGUGUAAAACAAGGGUGUUAUCAGAUUUCACUCUGAGCGGUGUAAAUCAAGCCACGCCUCCACUAAACAUAUCCUGUCAGGGAUUUUACCGCCAUUUUCUUUCACAGGAGGACUGAAGAGAUCAGGUAAAUCAGUCUCAUAAUAUUCACAUGGUUUAGCUAAAUUAAACUGUUAUUUCUCUGUAUGACUCUACGCAGCCAUAUUCCAAAAAACCUAAAUAAGAUAUUUUUCCCAUUUUAUUUCCCCUUUGUUCGUUAUUUGGUUCAGUUUAAUCAGAGCUACCUUGUGUUACGUUGUUCCCUUGUUAGUUUAGUAUAAAGUUAAACUGCUAGCUAAAAGUUUAAAACCAAGAAGGAUAAUAUUAACAGGAGAUAUGAACGAAAGAAUUGAACCAUGAUAAAACGCGACAUGCACUACAAAUUGAAGGUAUGAAAUUAAGUUAAAUGAAAGCUCGUUUAUUCACCAUAUGAUGCUCGUUAUAAGGUAAUCAUAUAGGCUAGAUACCGUGAGUUAACGAGGUCGUUUACAUGCACGUGAGUGCACUGAUAUCGGUUAAUUAUUCAAAUUACUGAAAAACACGGAGAAAACCGCAACCGCAUCGUCAUAUGUUUUUUAAGAUGUAUGCAAACAGGGGAAAUAUCGCCAAACCAACAAUUAAUUUGACCAAAACCCCACAAUAUAUCAUCAUUUGUAUGCACAGAUUGGAUGCAUUGUGUGUUGUAAGCUUUUCGUGGCGCUAGAUGUCAGACAGAUGCAAAUGGCAAAUACAUACGAAAGUGUAAAACGUGUAUGGCGAACAUUUGUUUUUUUCUGUCAUUAUAGAUGCUAGUUUGAUGAAAGUUCACACUGAGUGCUUCAAAUCAUUCAGAAGAGAUGCUGUUUUUAGGGCAGUUUAUUAAAGAAGACCUAACAUGGAUGACUUCCAAUGAGAAACGACUGCUAAUACUUAUAUAAAUUCAUUACAGAAGGACCCUACCAGACUAUAUUUGAAUACGGCAUACCCAUGAAUUCUGGAACUGUUAUUCCUUAACCCAGUUUGGAGGAUAAGAGCUUACCAACUAGUUAUAAAUAUGCUGAGGUGAUGUAUUGCAAAAUAGCCAACAUACAACAAUAUGGAUGACCCUCUGUCUGGUCAACAGGAGUUUAAAUAUGGACGGGACAGUGAUGUGGCAGCUCUUCCCUGGCUCAUUCACCUCUUGCCUUCAUUUGUGAAAGGAAGAAAGACUGGAGAGGGUCAAUGUGCAACUGAAGCUACUGAUUGUGCUGUGUGAUGUGCAUCAAUCCAUGCUUUGAGGUGGAUGAAUCAGCACAUCCCUGCCUGCACUGCGUUGGGAACAGAAGUUGCAUCCAGAAUUUUUGCAUCAUUCUGGACCAAAAAGCCAUUCCCUCCAUGAUGAAGACCACUGAUGCAGCCUUCCACUACAUCAUGAGUAAAACAACUACAGAACUAAAUACCAGGUUGGAACGUAUUUAAGAAAAAUGAAACGUCUUUUGAAUUGAAAUGUCUGUUUUGUUAUGGAAAAAUCUUUAGUAUUGUGAAGGAUAAGCAUUUCUGCCUGCCAGUAAGGUAAUUGCAGUGUAUUUUAAUGUUCAAGUUUUGAGUAGGGUGGCUAAUUUUUUUAACUCUCAUUUGAUAUAUUAAAGACCUUAUAAUAAGUGGUUUUCAUGUCACUGCG
Long non-coding RNA from Paramisgurnus dabryanus, 1806 nucleotides. RefSeq lists it as uncharacterized. The record is from RefSeq and is a predicted model, not a curated record. NCBI's taxonomy places the organism in Eukaryota, Metazoa, Chordata, Actinopteri, Cypriniformes, Cobitidae.